This 340-nucleotide ribosomal RNA is filed under the name Etheostoma nigrum (Johnny darter). Its description in RNAcentral is "partial 16S ribosomal RNA". It matches the Rfam family "Bacterial large subunit ribosomal RNA", at positions 668 to 1082 of the family's 2925-position model. Lineage: Eukaryota; Metazoa; Chordata; Actinopteri; Perciformes; Percidae. The record is from RNAcentral.
CAGUGUAACCCAAGCAAAGUGUGCUUUAGUUUGAUAACCCGAAACUAAGUGAGCUACUCCAAGACAGCCUAUUAAUAGGGCAAACCCGUCUCUGUGGCAAAAGAGUGGGAAGAGCUUUGAGUAGAGGUGACAGACCUACCGAACUUAGUUAUAGCUGGUUGCCUGGAAAUUGGAUAGAAGUUCAGCCUCCCGGAUUCUCCAUUCACUUCAGUUUAACCCCUUCUGAUGCCUUUAAGAAGCCGAGAGAGUUAGUCAAAGGGGGUACAGCCCCUUUGAACCAAGAUACAACUUUUCCAGGAGGGUAAAGAUCAUAAUUACAAAAGGUAAAAUAUUUAGGUGG